CAAUAGACUUUUUUAAAAGUCAAACUUAUAAAUUUAAACAAAUAAU
Mus musculus (house mouse) is the source of this 46-nucleotide non-coding RNA. Lineage: Eukaryota; Metazoa; Chordata; Mammalia; Rodentia; Muridae. The record is from Rfam.